GGGUGCGUUCACACCGGCACUAAAGCAUUGGAUCCCAUCAGAACUCCGAAGUUAAGCAUGCAUGGCCGAGAGUAGUACUAGGAUGGGUGACCCCCUGGAUGUUCUCAUGUUGCACUCU
Molecule: ribosomal RNA, 118 nt
Filed under: Musa acuminata subsp. malaccensis (wild Malaysian banana)
Lineage: Eukaryota; Viridiplantae; Streptophyta; Magnoliopsida; Zingiberales; Musaceae
Source: RNAcentral